ACAAACGGAUUGGGCCCAGGCUUUCCCAAAUGGAUCCGUGGAUUUAAGCCAGACUUUUGCCUCUACCUGGUGAGUAAAACGCUGCGUUUUCAUUCUCGGAGUAGUCCACCCCGGUUUCCCUCAGAAAUUGGCUGCAUUGCACGCAAAGCGUUUGAUUCAAUCACCCAGCGGAUCGAGUUUGAGCUGAGUUGACGCGGCCUCUGAAAACUCGACAAAAAUGCAACGGUUAACAUCAAGGAUAACUCGAACUGUGAAAGCUUCUUCCUCACUGAGAGCUUUCCUCCUCAAAGAAGCACCAUUAUCAUCUUCUUGUUGGCUUCCAGAGCGCAGCUUCUCUGCUUUCUCCUUGCAACAACAUGUCCAAAACCCGCAAAAAGAAGCGAUCCCAGGCGAUUUCUUGAAAUGGGGUUCGCUUGGUUUUUGCAGGACUUCGAGGUUUGCUACUGGGUUCACGCCUUUACAACCCAAGCCUUUGAAUUCCAUCAUGGACUUGGACAGAGCAAAGAACCGUUCAGCAGAGGACCUUGCUUCUGUUUGGGAUGAUUAUCACUUGGGAAGAGGUCACAUUGGGUUGACCAUGAAAGCAAAACUUUACCGUUUGUUGGAACACAGAGGCUCAGAUUGCCGGUAUUUUGUCAUUCCUUUGUGGAGAGGAAGUGGUUACACAACAAUGUUUGCUCAAGUGCAGUUGCCGCACAUGCUUUUCACUGGUCUUGAAGAUUACAAAGCGAAGGGAACUCAAGCAGCUCCUUACUUCACUGCAACCUUUUACACAGAAUUUGCAGAAAGCAAGGACUUGGUACUCAUUCGUGGAGAUAUUGUUUUCACCAGUAAACUUACUGAUGAGGAAGCAAAAUGGCUCUUGGAGACCACUCAAUCUUUCUAUCUGAAUGAUGUGAGGUACAAGCAGGUUGAACGAUUCAAUAAAGAACCACGUGAGUUUGAGUUCAAGGAUGUGUUGCGAGCCUUAGACAUGCCCAUCAUGUAACUUCUUUGAAUGAUAUAUGGUGAACUACAAUGCUGCUUAGUCAGGAAGUCUGAAGCAAUAAUGUUUCCACUUAGGCAUUGGCCCAAUGGGAGGAUUAUCUCAAGACAACCGGUUAUGUUUUUAACAGAGUUAGGUAUGGCAUAACUCAACACUGGUCACGUCAGAAAAUAGGUCAAUUAAAGCGGACAACCUAAGUCUCUCAGUUAUCUCCGUCCUUAAAUCCACCAAAUGACUGACGCUUCCGAGGAAGCCAAGCAAAUCGAGAAGCUCUACGAGUUCGGCGAACGCCUUAACGAGGCCAAGGAUAAGUCUCAGAAUGUGAAAGACUACGAAGGAAUCAUCGAUGCCACGAAAACAAGUUUAAAGGCGAAGCAGUUGGCUGCGCAGCUAAUUCCUCGCUUCUUCAAGUUCUUCCCCAAUCUCUCCAGCCGUGCUCUCAAUGCGCAUUUCGAUUUGAUUGAAGAAGAAGAUUU
Molecule: RNA transcript, 1461 nt
Organism: Theobroma umbraticum
Lineage: Eukaryota; Viridiplantae; Streptophyta; Magnoliopsida; Malvales; Malvaceae
Gene name: ATP synthase F1 complex assembly factor
Source: RefSeq, a predicted model, not a curated record